AACGAACGCUGGCGGCAUGCCUAACACAUGCAAGUCGAACGAGACCUUCGGGUCUAGUGGCGCACGGGUGCGUAACGCGUGGGAACCUGCCCUUAGGUUCGGAAUAACUCCCCGAAAGGGGUGCUAAUACCGGAUAAUGUCUUCGGACCAAAGAUUUAUCGCCUUUGGAUGGGCCCGCGUUGGAUUAGCUAGUUGGUAGGGUAAAAGCCUACCAAGGCGACGAUCCAUAGCUGGUCUGAGAGGAUGAUCAGCCACACUGGGACUGAGACACGGCCCAGACUCCUCCGGGAGGCAGCAGUGGGGAAUAUUGGACAGGGGGCGAAAGCCUGAUCCAGCAAUGCCGGGUGAGUGAAGAAGGCCUUAGGGUUGUAAAGCUCUUUUACCCGGGAUGAUAAGGACAGUCCCGGGAAAAUGAGCCCCGGCUAACUCCGU
This 432-nucleotide ribosomal RNA is filed under the name uncultured bacterium. RNAcentral's name for it is "partial 16S ribosomal RNA". It matches the Rfam family "Bacterial small subunit ribosomal RNA", at positions 29 to 506 of the family's 1533-position model. The record is from RNAcentral.